RNAcentral lists this ribosomal RNA (483 nucleotides) under uncultured bacterium. Its description in RNAcentral is "partial 16S ribosomal RNA". It matches the Rfam family "Bacterial small subunit ribosomal RNA", at positions 28 to 523 of the family's 1533-position model. The record is from RNAcentral.
GACGAACGCUGGCGGCGUGCUUAACACAUGCAAGUCGAGCGAGGCCCCUCCUUCGGGAGGGUGUCCUAGCGGCGAACGGGUGAGUAACACGUGGGCAACCUGCCCCCGGCUCUGGGAUAACUCCAAGAAAUUGGGGCUAAUACCGGAUAUGACCGCUGACCGCAUGGUCUGGUGGUGGAAAGAUUUAUCGGCUGGGGAUGGGCCCGCGGCCUAUCAGCUUGUUGGUGGGGUAGUGGCCUACCAAGGCGCCGACGGGUAGCCGGCCUGAGAGGGUGACCGGCCACACUGGGACUGAGACACGGCCCAGACUCCUACGUGAGGCAGCAGUGGGGAAUAUUGCGCAAUGGGCGGAAGCCUGACGCAGCGACGCCGCGUGGGGGAUGACGGCCUUCGGGUUGUAAACCUCUUUCAGCAGGGACGAAGCGAAAGUGACGGUACCUGCAGAAGAAGCACCGGCCAACUACGUGCCAGCAGCCGCCGUAA